RNAcentral lists this ribosomal RNA (496 nucleotides) under uncultured bacterium. RNAcentral describes it as "partial 16S ribosomal RNA". It matches the Rfam family "Bacterial small subunit ribosomal RNA", at positions 28 to 507 of the family's 1533-position model. The record is from RNAcentral.
GAUGAACGCUGGCGGCGUGCCUAAUACAUGCAAGUCGAGCGAACAGAUGAGGAGCUUGCUCCUCUGACGUUAGCGGCGGACGGGUGAGUAACACGUGGAUAACCUACCUAUAAGACUGGGAUAACUUCGGGAAACCGGAGCUAAUACCGGAUAAUAUAUUGAACCGCAUGGUUCAAUAGUGAAAGACGGUUUUGCUGUCACUUAUAGAUGGAUCCGCGCCGCAUUAGCUAGUUGGUAAGGUAACGGCUUACCAAGGCAACGAUGCGUAGCCGACCUGAGAGGGGGAUCGGCCACGCGUGAACUGAGACGCGGUCCAGCCCCCUGAGGGAGGCAGGGGUAGGAAUUCUUCCGCAAGGGGCGAAAGCCUGACGGAGAAACGCGGCGGGAGUGUGGAAGGUCUAUGGAGCGUAAAUCUUGUUUGUUUGGGAAAAACAAAUGUGUAAGACACGUGACCAGUCUGACCGUUCCCUAAGCAGAAACCCCGGCUAACCUCCUG